UACGUAGGAUGCAAGCGUUGUCCGGAUUUACUGGGCGUAAAGGGCGCGCAGGCGGCUCAUUUUGUCAGGCGUGAAAGCCCCGGGCUUAACCUGGGAACUGCGUUUGAUACGGAUGGGCUAGAGUUCGGGAGAGGAGAGUGGAAUUCCCAGUGUAGAGGUGAAAUUCGUAGAUAUUGGGAAGAACACCGGUGGCGAAGGCGGCUCUCUGGACCGAGACUGACGCUGAGGCGCGAAAGCGUGGGGAGCAAACAGG
This 253-nucleotide ribosomal RNA is filed under the name uncultured bacterium. Its description in RNAcentral is "partial 16S ribosomal RNA". It matches the Rfam family "Bacterial small subunit ribosomal RNA", at positions 524 to 776 of the family's 1533-position model. The record is from RNAcentral.